AUCUCUCAACGCAAGAAAACUUUUCUUGUGCUUGGAUAGUGAAGGUUUUGCUGGCGCAAAUAACUGUCAGCUCCUUUUAAAUGCAUUAGCAGAGCAGUGUAGGACUGGCCUCAGUUUGAUAAGAAAAGUUUAUCUAUGCUGUCGCUAGAUUUCCUCUGUGUUCAGCUUCAAACCGUCUUCGGACUGUCUCUCUUGAGGCAAAACAAUUCAUU
This 212-nucleotide unclassified non-coding RNA is filed under the name uncultured Clavaria. RNAcentral's name for it is "sequence contains ITS2". Lineage: Eukaryota; Fungi; Basidiomycota; Agaricomycetes; Agaricales; Clavariaceae. The record is from RNAcentral.